CCUACGGGGGGCUGCAGUGGGGAAUUUUGGACAAUGGGCGCAAGCCUGAUCCAGCCAUGCCGCGUGCAGGAUGAAGGCCUUCGGGUUGUAAACUGCUUUUGUAUGGAACGAAAAGCCCCCUUCUAAUAAAGGGGGGAGAUGACGGUACCGUAAGAAUAAGCACCGGCUAACUACGUGCCAGCAGCCGCGGUAAUACGUAGGGUGCAAGCGUUAAUCGGGAUUACUGGGCGGAAUGCGUAAGACGGAGGUGAAAUCCCCGGGCUCAACCUGGGAACUGCCUUUGUGACUGCAUAGCGUGAGUGCGGCAGAGGGGGAUGGAAUUCCGCGUGUAGCAGUGAAAUGCGUAGAUAUGCGGAGGAACACCGAUGGCGAAGGCAAUCCCCUGGGCCUGCACUGACGCUCAUGCACGAAAGCGUGGGGAGCAAACAGGAUUAGAUACCCGUGUAGUC
This 449-nucleotide ribosomal RNA is filed under the name uncultured bacterium. RNAcentral's name for it is "partial 16S ribosomal RNA". It matches the Rfam family "Bacterial small subunit ribosomal RNA", at positions 338 to 795 of the family's 1533-position model. The record is from RNAcentral.